Molecule: ribosomal RNA, 245 nt
Filed under: uncultured bacterium
Lineage: Bacteria
Description: partial small subunit ribosomal RNA
Rfam family: Bacterial small subunit ribosomal RNA
Source: RNAcentral
AGAAUCAACGCUGGCGGCGUGCCUAACACAUGCAAGCCGCACGAGAAAGGGUAGCAAUACCUGAGUACAGUGGCGCACGGGUGAGUAACACGUGAAUAAUCUACCUCCGAGUGGGGAAUAACUGAGAGAAAUCUUAGCUAAUACCGCAUAAUACCCACGGGUCAAAGCAGCAAUGCGCUUGGAGAGGAGUUCGCGGCAGAUUAGUUAGUUGGCGGGGUAAUGGCCCACCAAGACGAUGAUCUGUA